Long non-coding RNA from Contarinia nasturtii (swede midge), 378 nucleotides. RefSeq lists it as uncharacterized. NCBI's taxonomy places the organism in Eukaryota, Metazoa, Arthropoda, Insecta, Diptera, Cecidomyiidae. The transcript has 3 exons. The record is from RefSeq and is a predicted model, not a curated record.
AAAAAUACUUGCAUUUUUAUCGGUUUGACACCGUAAAUUGAAAUAAUAUUCAUGAAAUAUAAUGUAAUUAAUCUUAUAAUUAUUAAUAGAAAAUCGAUUCAGACGAGCUGUUAACGAGUAAGUAUAAGUGACUUGUCAAACCUUUCAAAAACUGAAUAACCAUUGUGGGCCUCAAACCUUUACUUCAGAGAACCAUGGAAGAGAUUUCAUGAUGCUGCUAAGAAUGGCGAUGUACAAAAAAUUGAAGAAUUAAUAAGGAAUGGAACGGAUGUCAAUAUCAAAAAUCGCGAUAAUGAAACGUCUUUAUACUUUGCGAGUCAAAAUGUGACUAUCAUCAUUUUCUUUGACGAUUCUAAUAUUAACCUGCCUGGCGUUCAC